This 213-nucleotide long non-coding RNA is filed under the name Elaeis guineensis (African oil palm). Its description in RNAcentral is "long non-coding RNA (EGUI_LNC042074)". Lineage: Eukaryota; Viridiplantae; Streptophyta; Magnoliopsida; Arecales; Arecaceae. The record is from RNAcentral.
AACUGAAAUCAUCAUUAGUAUGGAUUCAUUUUUUGCUAGUUUAUACAUUACUAGUCUCAAGAAUGUAAGGAUCAACAUUCAUCCUAUUUAAUGAUUGUCUUUUAUUAUCAUCGAGCUAAAUAGUCCCAUUAUUAUCAAAUGAUUCAUCAUCUUGGUACACCUCAUCAUCCGCAUCUAGCAUUUUGUCGGUAUCUGCAGUUAUUUUUUUGGACC